GGCUGCAAUGAGUUGGAUUCAUGAGUUGGAUUCCGACGUCUUUCUUCCUUGUGCCGGGGACCGCCGUCUUCUCUCUGUGCGGGCUGCCUUCCUCCUCGUCCUUUCUAAUCUUCUCUCCGGCGUGCUUUGGGAGCCGCCGCCGCCGUCCUUGGCAUCGUCAAGUUGGAUCAUCAUUGUGCCCGAUCAAGCAUGUAUUUAACCCCCGAUGAGAGCUCGUUACUCAUUGCCGCUCUUUCCUCUUUUUCUUCCUUCCUUCUAUUUUUUCUCCUGCUCCGCUUGUCCGCUGCCGCGGCAAUGUUAGGCUUACAAGGCUAGUGACAAAUGUAUGUGUCUUUGUUUCUUUCCUUUGUCUCAUGCUUCCUUCUACUCCUCCUAUUCCGCUCAUCGCUGCCCAUGACACCGUUAGUGUUAUAUGGCUAAGUUUUCGCGUCUUUGUUUUUCUUUCCUCUCUCUCCUCCUUCCUUAUACUCCUUCUGCUCAGCUAAUUCACCGCCCACGACAGCCUUUGCGUUAUAAGGUGGUUUUAAAUGUUGGUGCAUUCGUUCUUUUUUCUUUUCUUUCCCUCCUCCUUUCUACUCCGCUCAUUCGCCGCCGCGACAAUGUUAGCAUUACAAGGCUAGUUUUAAUUAAUUGAUUGUGCCUUUGUUUUUUUUCCUGUCCUUUUUCCGUCUUCCUUAUAUUCCUCGUGAUACACACGCGACGGUCUUAGCGUCAUAAUUUACAAGGCUAGUGUCUCAAUGUUUGUGUCUUUGGUCCUUUUUCUUUUUCCUUUCUCUCCUCCUCCUGCUCCGCUCAUGCGUGCGACAAUGUUAGCAUUACAAGGCAGUGUUUAAAUUUUAUGUCUUCGCUUUCGGAAAAAUAUAAAAAUUGUACUUAAAGUCACAAAUAUAUUUUAGCCAUGCCGGAUGAGCACGGUGCUCUCGACUUCAGGAGCAACGCGGCACCGAUACUUUUCUGGUUUGUUGAAGCGCCAGAAAUUCUCAAAAAGAAACUGAUCACCUCGCGUGUUCUCUUCUGGCUAACUGGAACGCCAGGACCAGUUCAACUGAAACGUAUCCGCGCGUGAAA
RNAcentral lists this long non-coding RNA (1068 nucleotides) under Brachypodium distachyon (stiff brome). RNAcentral describes it as "long non-coding RNA (BDIS_LNC005944)". The record is from RNAcentral. Lineage: Eukaryota; Viridiplantae; Streptophyta; Magnoliopsida; Poales; Poaceae.